Molecule: transfer RNA, 78 nt
Filed under: Candidatus Omnitrophota bacterium
Lineage: Bacteria; Pseudomonadati; Candidatus Omnitrophota
Also listed under: 1 other name
Description: Candidatus Omnitrophica bacterium tRNA-Glu
Rfam family: tRNA
About the family: Transfer RNA (tRNA) molecules are approximately 80 nucleotides in length. Their secondary structure includes four short double-helical elements and three loops (D, anti-codon, and T loops). Further hydrogen bonds mediate the characteristic L-shaped molecular structure. tRNAs have two regions of fundamental functional importance: the anti-codon, which is responsible for specific mRNA codon recognition, and the 3' end, to which the tRNAs corresponding amino acid is attached (by aminoacyl-tRNA synthetases). tRNAs cope with the degeneracy of the genetic code in two manners: having more than one tRNA (with a specific anti-codon) for a particular amino acid; and 'wobble' base-pairing, i.e. permitting non-standard base-pairing at the 3rd anti-codon position.
Source: RNAcentral
GUCCCCAUCGUCUAGCUAGGUCCAGGACAAUAGAUUUUCGAUCUAUCAACAGGGGUUCAAAUCCCCUUGGGGACGCCA